UGUCGCUCAACGGUAGAGCACUUGACUUUUAAUCAAGGUAUCGCAGGUUCGACUCCUGUCAGU
This 63-nucleotide transfer RNA is filed under the name bovine gut metagenome. It matches the Rfam family "tRNA", at positions 6 to 65 of the family's 71-position model. From Rfam's summary of the family: Transfer RNA (tRNA) molecules are approximately 80 nucleotides in length. Their secondary structure includes four short double-helical elements and three loops (D, anti-codon, and T loops). The record is from RNAcentral.